Molecule: ribosomal RNA, 659 nt
Filed under: Salmonella enterica subsp. enterica serovar Agona
Lineage: Bacteria; Pseudomonadati; Pseudomonadota; Gammaproteobacteria; Enterobacterales; Enterobacteriaceae
Description: partial 23S ribosomal RNA
Rfam family: Bacterial large subunit ribosomal RNA
Source: RNAcentral
AUUCAUCUCCGGGGGUAGAGCACUGUUUCGGCUAGGGGGCCAUCCCGGCUUACCAACCCGAUGCAAACUGCGAAUACCGGAGAAUGUUAUCACGGGAGACACACGGCGGGUGCUAACGUCCGUCGUGAAGAGGGAAACAACCCAGACCGCCAGCUAAGGUCCCAAAGUCAUGGUUAAGUGGGAAACGAUGUGGGAAGGCCCAGACAGCCAGGAUGUUGGCUUAGAAGCAGCCAUCAUUUAAAGAAAGCGUAAUAGCUCACUGGUCGAGUCGGCCUGCGCGGAAGAUGUAACGGGGCUAAACCAUGCACCGAAGCUGCGGCAGCGACACUCAGGUGUUGUUGGGUAGGGGAGCGUUCUGUAAGCCUGCGAAGGUGGCCUGUGAGGGUUGCUGGAGGUAUCAGAAGUGCGAAUGCUGACAUAAGUAACGAUAAAGCGGGUGAAAAGCCCGCUCGCCGGAAGACCAAGGGUUCCUGUCCAACGUUAAUCGGGGCAGGGUGAGUCGACCCCUAAGGCGAGGCCGAAAGGCGUAGUCGAUGGGAAACGGGUUAAUAUUCCCGUACUUGGUGUUACUGCGAAGGGGGGACGGAGAAGGCUAUGUUGGCCGGGCGACGGUUGUCCCGGUUUAAGCGUGUAGGUGUGUGUUCCAGGUAAAUCCGGUU